RNAcentral lists this ribosomal RNA (203 nucleotides) under uncultured Lactobacillus sp. Its description in RNAcentral is "partial 16S ribosomal RNA". It matches the Rfam family "Bacterial small subunit ribosomal RNA", at positions 159 to 355 of the family's 1533-position model. The record is from RNAcentral. Lineage: Bacteria; Bacillati; Bacillota; Bacilli; Lactobacillales; Lactobacillaceae.
GGUGCUAAUACCGGAUAAGAAAGCGGAUCGCAUGAUCAGCUUUUAAAAGGCGGCGUAAGCUGUCGCUAUGGGAUGGCCCCGCGGUGCAUUAGCUAGUUGGUAAGGUAAAGGCUUACCAAGGCGAUGAUGCAUAGCCGAGUUGAGAGACUGAUCGGCCACAUUGGGACUGAGACACGGCCCAAACUCUUACGGGAGGCAGCAGC